This 657-nucleotide long non-coding RNA is filed under the name Equus caballus (horse). RNAcentral describes it as "lncRNA (ENSECAG00000043872.1)". Lineage: Eukaryota; Metazoa; Chordata; Mammalia; Perissodactyla; Equidae. The record is from RNAcentral.
CAACACUGUAGCUGCUGAGGCUCGCUAGACCCUCUAACUACUAUCUAUCACUGCUUAUCCACGCAGGACAAGGAAAGCCAAAGGAAGAGCAUUAACAAAUCCUAACACUGAAGAAUUUGGGGCCCCAGGGUUUGCACGCAGAGGCCAACUUCAGUGUGUACACUACAGCCAAACCGGGUGUGCUCGGAGCUCCUCCUGAAUUAAAGUCCACCGACUGUCUUCCAACCAGAUUUGAGGCAUAAUACCCUCAAGUUCUAGCCAUGUCAUCACAAGUGGCUGGAUUUCAUCAUUUCUUAUGGCUGAGUAGUAUUCUACUUGUUUAUAUACCACAUCUUCUUUACCCAUUCAUCCCUUGAUGGGCACCUAGGUUGCUUCCAUGACUUGCUUCAUCUUUUGAAAGUGAGUAAAUGGACAGUCCACAGCUCUGUCACUUGCCCUUCCCCUUCUGGCAUUUCUUGUUACCUAGGAGCCUGUCAUACUACCCACUGCCCUGCUCCCAUCCCCACUCUCUCCGCCACCACAGCCACACCUUGCUUCAUGCCCUCAUUAUUUUUUGUCUAAAUUAUCGCUUUUUCCAGACUGGUUCACUUGCUUCUGCUUUCACCCUCCUCUCGUCUGCCCUCCUAAUUGCCCUCAGAGUGAUGGGUGUGAGUAAAU